GAUGAACGCUGGCGGCGUGCUUAACACAUGCAAGUCGAACGAAGCGAUUUAGCGGAAGUUUUCGGAUGGAAGCUAAAUUGACUGAGUGGCGGACGGGUGAGUAACGCGUGGGUAACCUGCCUCACACUGGGGGACAACAGUUAGAAAUGACUGCUAAUACCGCAUAAGCGCACAGGACCGCAUGGUCUGGUGUGAAAAACUCCGGUGGUGUGAGAUGGACCCGCGUUUGAUUAGCUAGUUGGUGGGGUAACGGCCUACCAAGGCGACGAUCAAUAGCCGACCUGAGAGGGUGACCGGCCACAUUGGGACUGAGACACGGCCCAAACUCCUACGGGAGGCAGCAGUGGGGAAUAUUGCACAAUGGGGGAAACCCUGAUGCAGCGACGCCGCGUGAGUGAAGAAGUAUUUCGGUAUGUAAAGCUCUAUCAGCAGGGAAGAAAAUGACGGUACCUGACUAAGAAGCCCCGGCUAACUACGUGCCAGCAGCCGCGGUAAUACGUAGGGGGCAAGCGUUAUCCGGAUUUACUGGGUGUAAAGGGAGCGUAGACGGUAAAGCAAGUCUGAAGUGAAAGCCCGGGGCUCAACCCCGGGACUGCUUUGGAAACUGUUUAACUAGAGUGCUGGAGAGGUAAGCGGAAUUCCUAGUGUAGCGGUGAAAUGCGUAGAUAUUAGGAGGAACACCAGUGGCGAAGGCGGCUUACUGGACAGUAACUGACGUUGAGGCUCGAAAGCGUGGGGAGCAAACAGGAUUAGAUACCCUGGUAGUCCACGCCGUAAAC
RNAcentral lists this ribosomal RNA (779 nucleotides) under uncultured bacterium. RNAcentral describes it as "bacterial SSU rRNA". It matches the Rfam family "Bacterial small subunit ribosomal RNA", at positions 28 to 807 of the family's 1533-position model. The record is from RNAcentral.